RNAcentral lists this ribosomal RNA (468 nucleotides) under uncultured bacterium. RNAcentral describes it as "partial 16S ribosomal RNA". It matches the Rfam family "Bacterial small subunit ribosomal RNA", at positions 28 to 507 of the family's 1533-position model. The record is from RNAcentral.
GACGAACGCUGGCGGCGUGCUUAACACAUGCAAGUCGAACGGAAAGGCCCUGCUUUUGUGGGGUGCUCGAGUGGCGAACGGGUGAGUAACACGUGAGUAACCUGCCCUUGACUUUGGGAUAACUUCAGGAAACUGGGGCUAAUACCGGAUAGGAGCUCCUGCUGCAUGGUGGGGGUUGGAAAGUUUCGGCGGUUGGGGAUGGACUCGCGGCUUAUCAGCUUGUUGGUGGGGUAGUGGCUUACCAAGGCUUUGACGGGUAGCCGGCCUGGGAGGGUGACCGGCCACAUUGGGACUGCGAUACGGCCCAGACUCCUACGGGAGGCAGCAGUGGGGAAUAUUGCGCAAUGGGCGGAAGCCUGAUGCAGCAACGCCGCGUGCGGGAUGACGGCCUUCGGGUUGUAAACCGCUUUCGCCUGUGACGAAGCGUGAGUGACGGUAAUGGGUAAAGAAGCACCGGCUAACUACGUG